GCCAGUGUGGCAUAGUGGUUUGAGCACUGGACUAUGACGACUCUGGAGCACAGGGUUCGAAUGCCUGCUCAACCA
Phrynosoma platyrhinos (Desert horned lizard) is the source of this 75-nucleotide non-coding RNA. The record is from the annotation of a GenBank genome assembly. NCBI's taxonomy places the organism in Eukaryota, Metazoa, Chordata, Lepidosauria, Squamata, Phrynosomatidae.